This 74-nucleotide transfer RNA is filed under the name Acidobacteriota bacterium. RNAcentral describes it as "Acidobacteria bacterium tRNA-Pro". It matches the Rfam family "tRNA". Rfam says of the family: Transfer RNA (tRNA) molecules are approximately 80 nucleotides in length. Their secondary structure includes four short double-helical elements and three loops (D, anti-codon, and T loops). Further hydrogen bonds mediate the characteristic L-shaped molecular structure. tRNAs have two regions of fundamental functional importance: the anti-codon, which is responsible for specific mRNA codon recognition, and the 3' end, to which the tRNAs corresponding amino acid is attached (by aminoacyl-tRNA synthetases). tRNAs cope with the degeneracy of the genetic code in two manners: having more than one tRNA (with a specific anti-codon) for a particular amino acid; and 'wobble' base-pairing, i.e. permitting non-standard base-pairing at the 3rd anti-codon position. The record is from RNAcentral. RNAcentral also lists the same sequence under 1 other name. Lineage: Bacteria; Pseudomonadati; Acidobacteriota.
CGGGGAGUAGCUCAGCCUGGUAGAGCGCCGGCUUUGGGAGCCGGUGGUCGGAGGUUCGAAUCCUCUCUCCCCGA